AGCAGCCGCGGUAACUCCAGCUCCAAUAGCGUAUAUUAAAGUUGUUGCAGUUAAAAAGCUCGUAGUUGAAUUUCGGGAUCAAUAUAUCGGUCGUGCCUCGGUACGUACUGGUAUCAUUGGUUUCUCCUUUCUGACGAACCAUGAUGUCAUUAAUUUGGUGUUAUGGGAAGUUAAGACUGUUACUUUGAAAAAUUAGAGUGUUUAAAGCAGGCUUUGGCUUGAAUACAUUAGCAUGGAAUAAUGAAAUAGGACGUUCGAACCUAUUUUGUUGGUUUCUAGGAUCAACGUAAUGAUUAAUAGGGAUAGUUGGGGCGAUUAGUAUUCAAUUGUCAGAGGUGAAAUUCUUGGAUUUAUUGAAGACUAACUACUGCGAAAGCAUUUGCCAAGGAUGUUUUCAUUAAUCAAGAACGAAAGUUAGGGGAUCGAAGACGAUCAGAUACCGUCGUAGUCUUAACCAUAAACUAUGCCGACUAGGGAUCGGAUGAUGUUAAAUUUUUUAAUGGCUCAUUCGGCGCCUUAC
Molecule: unclassified non-coding RNA, 520 nt
Filed under: uncultured Glomus
Lineage: Eukaryota; Fungi; Glomeromycota; Glomeromycetes; Glomerales; Glomeraceae
Also listed under: 1 other name
Description: SSU rRNA
Rfam family: Eukaryotic small subunit ribosomal RNA
Source: RNAcentral